UAAUACGGAGGGUGCGAGCGUUAAUCGGAAUUACUGGGCGUAAAGCGCACGUAGGCGGUCUGGUAAGUCGGAUGUGAAAGCCCCGGGCUUAACCUGGGAAUUGCAUUCGAUACUGCCUGACUGGAGUAUGGGAGAGGGAAGCGGAAUUUCCGGUGUAGCGGUGAAAUGCGUAGAUAUCGGAAGGAACAUCAAUGGCGAAGGCAGCUUCCUGGCCCAAUACUGACGCUGAGGUGCGAAAGCGUGGGGAUCAAACAGG
Molecule: ribosomal RNA, 256 nt
Filed under: uncultured bacterium
Lineage: Bacteria
Description: partial 16S ribosomal RNA
Rfam family: Bacterial small subunit ribosomal RNA
Source: RNAcentral